Molecule: unclassified non-coding RNA, 404 nt
Filed under: soil metagenome
Description: partial contains 5.8S ribosomal RNA, internal transcribed spacer 2, and large subunit ribosomal RNA
Rfam family: 5.8S ribosomal RNA (bases 1-122)
Source: RNAcentral
GAUGAAGAACGUAGCAAAAUGCGAUACUUGGUGUGAAUUGCAGAAUCCCGUGAACCAUCGAGUUUUUGAACGCAAGUUGCGCCCGAAGCCUUUUGGCCGAGGGCACGUCUGCCUGGGCGUCACGCGUCGCGUCGCCCCCCACAAUUCUCCGUAAAGGGAACGUGUGUUUUGGGGGCGGAUAUUGGUCUCCCGUGCUCAUGGCGUGGUUGGCCGAAAUAGGAGUCCUUUCGAUGGACGCACGAACUAGUGGUGGUCGUAAAAACCCUCGUCUUUUGUUUCGUGCUGUUGCUCGCAAGGUAAACUCUUUAAAAACCCCAAUGUGUCGUCUCUUGACGACGCUUCGACCGCGACCCCAGGUCAGGCGGGACUACCCGCUGAGUUUAAGCAUAUCAAUAAGCGGAGGA